CUGGGAGUUGUAUGAUCAUGCACAAUCCACGGUCGGCUGUUAACAAGCUUCUGGAAACUAUCUGCAUCUCCUGGACGGAAUCCAUUUGUCUUCUCUUGUACCUUCCUAAGCACAAACCUUGCUUGAGACUCAAAACCUGGCGGAGGUGACAAGAACUUGUCUACAUUUCCAGAUUUCGAACUUCUGUUCACACCUUCAAAGCCUGGUGGAGGUGACAACAACUUGUCCACCUUUACAGAUUUGGAACAACCUUCAAAACCUGGCGGAGGUGACAAGAACUUGUCCACAUUUCCAGAUUUCGAACUUGUGUUCCCACCUUCAAUGCCCAUUAAACCUUACAGCCACCUCCCAGUAGUCUAGUGUAUUGAACAAUAAUCUGCAGUAGAUAAGAUCGUUUCAUCAUCAUUAGUGCCUUAUUAUAAACAUCACAACAAACCACAGAACAAGUAUUAUUAAUAAAAUUCUCCUCUUGGUUGGUCUUGGAACCUUACUCCUUCCUACAGGAAACUAACUUUCGAACAGAUUCAGAUAUUUAAAAGCCAAUCUUUACAUUAAAACGUUCUGGGUUUCUCAAAAUGAAACUUCUUUCAAAAUGGGUUCACUAAAGGAAGCUCCUUUUCAAUCAUAAAGAUGCAAAUCAUUUGCAGCCCCUAGCUAAGAUUGAACCUAAGCGUCUCAAAACAAGUAUCGAAUCUUAGGAUACAAAAUCUAACCCG
This is a long non-coding RNA of Brassica rapa (field mustard), 716 nucleotides long. RefSeq lists it as uncharacterized. NCBI's taxonomy places the organism in Eukaryota, Viridiplantae, Streptophyta, Magnoliopsida, Brassicales, Brassicaceae. The record is from RefSeq and is a predicted model, not a curated record.